This 253-nucleotide ribosomal RNA is filed under the name uncultured bacterium. RNAcentral's name for it is "partial 16S ribosomal RNA". It matches the Rfam family "Bacterial small subunit ribosomal RNA", at positions 524 to 776 of the family's 1533-position model. The record is from RNAcentral.
UACGAAGGGGGCUAGCGUUGCUCGGAAUUACUGGGCGUAAAGGGCGCGUAGGCGGAUAGUUUAGUCAGAGGUGAAAGCCCAGGGCUCAACCUUGGAAUUGCCUUUGAUACUGGCUAUCUUGAGUUCGGGAGAGGUGAGUGGAAUGCCGAGUGUAGAGGUGAAAUUCGUAGAUAUUCGCAAGAACACCAGUGGCGAAGGCGGCUCACUGGCCCGAUACUGACGCUGAGGCACGAAAGCGUGGGGAGCAAACAGG